This 679-nucleotide ribosomal RNA is filed under the name uncultured bacterium. Its description in RNAcentral is "bacterial SSU rRNA". It matches the Rfam family "Bacterial small subunit ribosomal RNA", at positions 579 to 1257 of the family's 1533-position model. The record is from RNAcentral.
UUUGUCGCGUUGUUCGUGAAAUCUCACGGCUUAACUGUGAGCGUGCGGGCGAUACGGGCAGACUUGAGUACUGCAGGGGAGACUGGAAUUCCUGGUGUAGCGGUGGAAUGCGCAGAUAUCAGGAGGAACACCGGUGGCGAAGGCGGGUCUCUGGGCAGUAACUGACGCUGAGGAGCGAAAGCGUGGGGAGCGAACAGGAUUAGAUACCCUGGUAGUCCACGCCGUAAACGGUGGGUACUAGGUGUGGGUUUCCUUCCUUGGGAUCCGUGCCGUAGCUAACGCAUUAAGUACCCCGCCUGGGGAGUACGGCCGCAAGGCUAAAACUCAAAGAAAUUGACGGGGGCCCGCGCAAGCGGCGGAGCAUGUGGAUUAAUUCGAUGCAACGCGAAGAACCUUACCUGGGUUUGACAUGCACAGGACGCCGGCAGAGAUGUCGGUUCCCUUGUGGCCUGUGUGCAGGUGGUGCAUGGCUGUCGUCAGCUCGUGUCGUGAGAUGUUGGGUUAAGUCCCGCAACGAGCGCAACCCUUGUCUCAUGUUGCCAGCGGGUAAUGCCGGGGACUCGUGAGAGACUGCCGGGGUCAACUCGGAGGAAGGUGGGGAUGACGUCAAGUCAUCAUGCCCCUUAUGUCCAGGGCUUCACACAUGCUACAAUGGCCGGUACAAAGGGCUGCGAUGCCG